UCAGAUAGCUAAAUCCGCUGUCCGACGCUUAGAAAAGAUAUCGAAGAUUAAGAACAUCUAUCGCAGCACAAAAAU
Long non-coding RNA from Aricia agestis (brown argus), 75 nucleotides. RefSeq lists it as uncharacterized. Lineage: Eukaryota; Metazoa; Arthropoda; Insecta; Lepidoptera; Lycaenidae. The record is from RefSeq and is a predicted model, not a curated record. The transcript is spliced from 3 exons.